UCAAACUUGGUCAUUUAGAGGAAGUAAAAGUCGUAACAAGGUUUCCGUAGGUGAACCUGCGGAAGGAUCAUUAUUGAAUAAAUGUGUGAUAAGCUGUUGCUGGGUCCCUCAGGGGGGGGGAUUAUGGUGCACGCUUGUCAUCUUUAUUUCUCCACCUGUGCACCAUUUUGGUAGACCCUUAGGGAAAGGUAUUGUCUGAACGAUCGGAUAGUUUGAGGAUUGCUGUGUCUGCUGCUGCCCUUCUAAAGAAGGGAAAGGGGGUGGGUCAGCUUUGCCUUGUGUCUCUAGGUUCUAUGUCAUUUAUUUUAUACGCCUAUGAAUGUAACAGACAGAAUGUUGAUCUUGGGUCCCUGUAUUAGUACCCAUAUAAAAGUUGUAACAACUUUCAGCAACGGAUCUCUUGGCUCUCGCAUCGAUGAAGAACGCAGC
This 429-nucleotide unclassified non-coding RNA is filed under the name uncultured fungus. Its description in RNAcentral is "partial contains small subunit ribosomal RNA, internal transcribed spacer 1, and 5.8S ribosomal RNA". The stretch from base 1 to 73 matches the Rfam family "Eukaryotic small subunit ribosomal RNA", at positions 1759 to 1831 of the family's 1831-position model. The record is from RNAcentral. Lineage: Eukaryota; Fungi.